GAGUUUGAUCGUGGCUCAGAAUCAACGCUGGCGGCGUGCCUAACACAUGCAAGUCGAACGAGAAAGUGGAGCAAUCCAUGAGUACAGUGGCGACCGGGUGAGUAACACGUGACUACCUACCCUUGAGUGGGGGAUAACCUCGGGAAACCGAGGCUAAUACCGCAUAAUAUCGAGAGAUCAAAGGAGAAAUCCGCUUUUGGAGGGGGUCGCGGCUGAUUAGCUAGUUGGUGAGGUAAUGGCCCACCAAGGCGAAGAUCGGUAUCCGGCCUGAGAGGGCGCACGGACACACUGGAACUGAAACACGGUCCAGACUCCUACGGGAGGCAGCAGUGGGAAUUUUGCGCAAUGGGGGAAACCCUGACGCAGCAACGCCGCGUGGAGGAUGAAGCCCCUUGGGGUGUAAACUCCUUUCGACCGGGAAAAUAAUGAUGGUACCGGUGGAAGAAGCACCGGCUAACUCUGUGCCAGCCGCCGACGGU
This 479-nucleotide ribosomal RNA is filed under the name uncultured bacterium. RNAcentral's name for it is "bacterial SSU rRNA". It matches the Rfam family "Bacterial small subunit ribosomal RNA", at positions 9 to 521 of the family's 1533-position model. The record is from RNAcentral.